UUGCAAUCACUGGAACAUAGGGAAAUUUCAAAAGCUACUGAAAACGCAUGCUUAGCUUUGACUACAUUGAUAAUGUACAUAACAAAUAUUCAUACUUGAAUCCAAACUUAAACUCAAAUACAACCUGAAAAAUUCACACCUAUUAACUUUUCCUCAAUACCAACAGUAACGAUAUCUAGAUAAUUAGCACAAUUCACUUAAAUCCAAAAAUCAACACCCAAACUCUUAAAGAGCAUAAGUUCAUUUCUACAACACAUUAAUAACAUAAGAUAACUAAGCUAACAUGUACAACACAUGGCCUAUUACAGAACAUUUAAAGAAGUAGAAGAAGCAAAUGAAAAAAAAGGGAUCCAAAACAACUUGUAUUCAAUCAGGCCUCAAUUGGAAACACAUAUUCUUAGCUACUUGUUGACAAUGGUUUGAAGUAAUACCUGGUAGUGAACAAGGAAAAAAACAAAAGAGGUGAAGAAUCAGCAGUAAGCAGUAGCAGAAAUCAGCUUAAACCCAGCAAUGAAAUAGUGACAAAAAUCCAGCAAAUCAGGCUUCAAAUUUUCAAACUAAUUCUGAUGUUUUAGAACCCCAAGUGCAACAUUUCUACUGAACCCUUUAAAUCUGACUCUUCAACAAGGAAAUUAAACUUGAAAUCAAGCAGAAAAUGUAAACAAUUUUCAGUAUUCUUCUUGAAGAAAAAGAGCUCCAGCCAUUUUUUGCUUUUAGUAUUUUUCAGAGUUUUUUUUUUAUCUCUAGCCCCUUCCUUGAGCUUGAAGAAAGAAUGCCUUUAUAGGCAAGGUUUAGGGCAGCAUAGAAUGAGCUCAGUUUUGCAUUUUUGCCCUUUGGAUAUUUUCUUUUUUGCUUAAGAGUCCUCAACUUAAAAACUCAAUUUUCACAUAAGCCCCAAAGAUACCUUCCUAGCAGCUUCCUAAUUUAGUUAUUAGAGAUUCCCCCCACCUACAAUUCCCAAUUUAGCCCUUGAACACCCUGUUAUUACCCCUGAAACUAAACGGGUAUGGGUCAAAUUGACCCAAUGUUCCAAUCCAGUCUGGGCUUGCAAAACUCAAUAUGAAUUUGUUAUUUUUGGGCUUUUGAUUUCAAUCAAACCAACAAUCUAUAACCGAACCCAUAAUUUAAACAGACUGACCCGAAAUUUUUGAAAAGAAAAACCCGAAAACCCUUUUAAAAAUGAAACUAAAAACAAAAGAAAGGGAAAUGAACCACUAAUCAAAACAAAUAAGCUAAGCUUGGUUAUUAAACUAGUUAUGCAAAACAGAACAAACGGACAAGCGAACACAUGAUGAAGAAAAAGAAGAAAGGGUGCAGAAAAAGAUAGAAAUGAACUCAAACGAAGAAGAAGAAAACAUGCAAGAAAGGGAAAUGAAAAAUACCUAAAAUCUGGAUGGCUUAAUCUUGGAUCUUCAGAGAAAGCUUCAAUUUCUUGAACGAAAUGGGCCUUAAUUGUGUGUUUUCAAACGAAAACGCAUGAAUAAAGCCAAUUUCGGCCUUAAAACUUCGUUAGACUUCACUGAUUUGGUUUUGGGAUUUUAGGGUUCAUGUCUUCAAAUUAAGAUUCCAGCAGCUCUGGGAAAAUUCGAGGGAAACAAAGUAAGGAUUUGGAAUGAGGGGGUCCUGGGGGUUGUGUGGUGUUAAUUUAGGGUCAUUUGGGACCGCCGCAGCCACCGGAGGACGGUGGGAAAAUGAGGCGGCGCUUUAGGGUUUUACUUUUGGUCUCUGAGAUGGGGGAAUGAGAGAGACGAUGAGAGAGGGGGGGGG
Molecule: long non-coding RNA, 1767 nt
Filed under: Nicotiana tabacum (common tobacco)
Lineage: Eukaryota; Viridiplantae; Streptophyta; Magnoliopsida; Solanales; Solanaceae
Description: long non-coding RNA (NTAB_LNC000354)
Source: RNAcentral